CUAGCAACAAAAUCGUUAAGUUGUCAACACUGCACCCCCACAGCAGUAGACGCCUACGCGGAUCCACAUCCAAGUCGCGAAACCCGCGUGACUGUCACAUUCGUUUUGGCACCGCCCAGAGGAUCCGCUCCUCCUCCGGGCAGCGCGGUGAAUUCUACUGUCCCACACUGGACUCGUGUCGGAUCCGCAGAAGUGGACGCGCCUUUACUGUAAAGGUUGAACUACAUCCUCUUGGUGUGCUCUUGCCACGCCGAGACAAGAGUCAUAUCAGUGGAGAUUUUCUUUCCUGGGACACGGUUGCGCUGAACUAUCUGAGUAAGUGUAUUGAUUUAUUGCGACAUUCACAGCAAACAUAGGCCUUUGUGUUUUUUUGCUCAUCAUGUAUAAUGAUUGUAAUGACGUUGUUUGAUAUUAGGACUUUUGUGCAACAUGCUAUUGCUAGCUGAGAGAUUAUGAUGAUAUUGUAGCCCAUUUGAUUUAAAAUGGGAUAGUCAUUUCGGCAGAAUAUGUUAUGGUAGUGUGAUAAAGACUGGUUUGGUCUGUUUUAAUGUGUCGCUGCUAUCCAUAUGUAGCUUUUGCUAUGUUAGCAGCAUGUAGCUGCUAGCUAGCAUGCUGCUAGGCGCGAUUGCAUCAUUUCGCAAGUAUUGAUAAUGCCUAUAUAUAGCUAUAUGUUUGAGUUCACGUUUGCGAUGCAAACCUAUAGCUGAUAAAUUGGCACUGGUAUUUCAGUCAAUGAAGUGGGGUCAAUAUUACAGUCAGUGAAGCACUUGUCUGCUAUGAUAGCUAGCAGGUACAAUUUUAGCAUGUUUAGUUUCUAGCUAGCUGUGCAUUAAGUUUGCAUUUUGUCAAGUUUGGUCUCAUGUGUAAUGUCUAUCUGCCAUCCUCUUUAUAAUGAAAAUCAAGCUUCGGCAUUUUAAUCACUGUUUAAGUUGGUUCAGACAACUAAUGGGUAUUGGCGCCUGUUUGAACGUCAAGAAGUACGGGCUUUUCUGCUAAUGGUUGCUACCGAACAUUACUUUGAAACCAUUCAGCAAAUACACAGUACAUAUGGAGAUUUAACAACACCGCUCAUUUUACACACCGUUUAAAAUGAGCGGCUAGUAAUGAGUGAACAUUACUAGCUAGCUAGCUACGUUUUUCAUGUUGGUUUUGAGCGGUAGGCUCCCCCACUAACCUAGAAAAUAGUUUUAAAACAGUAAAAUUAGCUAGCUAGCUAGCUAAUACGGAGGAAUACUCCAUCCAGCGGGGGGAGUCAGAGGCAGAGGGACAGUCACCGCAGCGUUAGCUAACGUUGGCUUCUUGUUUCAUUUGGGGUCUAAUAAACAGUCUAGUUUGUAGCAAUGAAACAGACAACACCACUAUUCAACAAUGUUUUUAUUAAAAUACAACAUUAGAAAUGAUAAUUUUACACACCUGAUAAACGUGUCUUUCUGAAAUGUCUCUUUUUUUAGAACAAAAAUGAAUAGAAAGACUGUGCCUGUCUCCUUAUCAACCUUAAGACGAAGGACACGUGUAGACGUUCAAAAAAGGCAUCAUCAAAUUAGGACAGACGACUGACAUGGACAGGGGCAGAUGACUGAGUUCUUUGAGGACACUGCCCCCACCCUCUUUAGCUGCACAUGCAAUGCCAGAGGUGCAAGUUGAUACUGAAGAUGACAUGGAAUUGGAGGCAGAUUUUGAUGAUCUGUACAUUACUCUGGAUAAAAAUUUGCUGAUGCCUUUUCAUCAAAUUGAAUUUCACGCAAGCGAGGACAUUUUUGUGCCAGUUGACUGGUAUGAUGACGUGAUGGUGUACUGGCCCAGCUGAACGUGUGAAACGGGCAGCUGCUAACGAGGAGAAGCAUGAGCCAAACUGGCCAAGAUAUGACGUAAAGGUCGUCAGAACUUGUGACAACUACAAAGACGCCAUCAGGCUAAUGAAUCAAUAUCAGACCGGUUACAACGCCUCUGAGCUACAGUCUGAGGCAGAGCAGGAGGGAUAGCUGCCAGAGAAAUAAGUCAGGAAGCCAAUCCAUCGUUUUGGGGACUCUGAUGAGAAUGAAGAAGAGUUUCCCCUAGGACAAUUGGAGGCAGUGGAGGCAUUUGAAAUGUUUUUAAAGGAACCGUCAAAUGGCCCAGCUCGACAGAGCGUGGUGCUGUGAGGAAAAACACAGUGACACGGUCAGCCACGGACGCAGAGGUCACCAAGCACGCAAUCAGGUGGUUCAACCUGGCAGCGGAUCGGGCAACGAGGAGACGUGUCCCGCCUCAAGCCACACAAACGGAGUAAUAGGAGAAAUAAGCAAUAGACAAUAUUUUUAUUGAACUUCUUGUCGUUCACCAGUUAUUAAUUUUCUGAUAUUUUAGCUGUGCAUUUCAUUGAAGUUUUAGCCUAAUGGAUAAAAUAUUUUAUGUCUGCACCGACCUGGGCCUAUAAAGCACUAAAUUAGGUUUUGACCACAAAAUGAAUGUAAAGCAGCUUAGCCAACGUAGGCUACUUAACAAAAACGGAAUAGAAAGAACUUGUAACUUUCCAUAAAUGUAAAUGACAAUUUUAUAUUUCCAUUAAGUAGUGAUUACUUUUGUACAGUGAAUUGAUGUCUUGACUUGAACCUUUUCUGUUAGGCCUAUUGACAAUAUUGUUAGGUUAAAAAUACAAGGCAAUGCAGAUUUAAGAUUAGGUCUAUAUUGCUGGAGCAACCUAGAC
Long non-coding RNA from Esox lucius (northern pike), 2686 nucleotides. RefSeq lists it as uncharacterized. The transcript is spliced from 5 exons. The record is from RefSeq and is a predicted model, not a curated record. NCBI's taxonomy places the organism in Eukaryota, Metazoa, Chordata, Actinopteri, Esociformes, Esocidae.